UCAAAAUGGAUCUUUACAAAGUGUUCGUCAUGCAUGCGGCAUGUAUGCGUCGGAUUAUCAAUUUCACUAUACUGCCAACAAACAUGAGAUUGCCCUCAUUUCACCCCAGUGUGAGUGUUCAUCCCUCAGGGAAUGAAGCAAAAUUCAGCAGAGGAGCCCCAGCUGCUGAAGGCGUCCUGGAAUACAUAUGGAGUGAUGCUUGUAGCAUUAAUUCAUAGUAUAUGUGCCAACCCUAGAUACCUCCUGCAGAGGAUAAAUGCUCUUUCCCUUUCUACUCCACUUUUUGCCAAGACUAGAGCAUGUCCCCAGGCACUGCUGCUUUGACCAACCGCAAACAGUGACAAAAACAAACUCUGUGUGUCUGAAUAUGUACAAAGACAACCAACUCGUGCACUGCAUUAUUCUGCUGGAGAGCUUUUCUACUCUUUGUGCAACAGAGCACAGAUGGUCAAUAAAACAGUGAGAACUGGGUGAAAGGUAACCGGAGCAGUUUUAAUUUGCAAUUUGACACAUUGUGCACACUUUAAAAU
This is a long non-coding RNA of Megalobrama amblycephala (Wuchang bream), 530 nucleotides long. RefSeq lists it as uncharacterized. Lineage: Eukaryota; Metazoa; Chordata; Actinopteri; Cypriniformes; Xenocyprididae. The record is from RefSeq and is a predicted model, not a curated record. The transcript has 3 exons.